This 73-nucleotide transfer RNA is filed under the name Akanthomyces muscarius. RNAcentral's name for it is "tRNA-Phe". The record is from RNAcentral. Lineage: Eukaryota; Fungi; Ascomycota; Sordariomycetes; Hypocreales; Cordycipitaceae.
GCUUGUGAGGCUCAAUUUGUUGAGCGGAAUAUUGAAGCUAUUUAGGUUGUAAGUCCGAACCUUAUCACGAGCA